Molecule: ribosomal RNA, 650 nt
Filed under: Collimonas sp. AD77
Lineage: Bacteria; Pseudomonadati; Pseudomonadota; Betaproteobacteria; Burkholderiales; Oxalobacteraceae
Description: bacterial SSU rRNA
Rfam family: Bacterial small subunit ribosomal RNA
Source: RNAcentral
GAUUAGAUACCCUGGUAGUCCACGCCCUAAACGAUGUCUACUAGUUGUCGGGUCUUAAUUGACUUGGUAACGCAGCUAACGCGUGAAGUAGACCGCCUGGGGAGUACGGUCGCAAGAUUAAAACUCAAAGGAAUUGACGGGGACCCGCACAAGCGGUGGAUGAUGUGGAUUAAUUCGAUGCAACGCGAAAAACCUUACCUACCCUUGACAUGUACAGAAUCCCGAAGAGAUUUGGGAGUGUUCGAAAGAAAACUGUAACACAGGUGCUGCAUGGCUGUCGUCAGCUCGUGUCGUGAGAUGUUGGGUUAAGUCCCGCAACGAGCGCAACCCUUGUCAUUAGUUGCUACGAAAGGGCACUCUAAUGAGACUGCCGGUGACAAACCGGAGGAAGGUGGGGAUGACGUCAAGUCCUCAUGGCCCUUAUGGGUAGGGCUUCACACGUCAUACAAUGGUACAUACAGAGGGCCGCCAACCCGCGAGGGGGAGCUAAUCCCAGAAAGUGUAUCGUAGUCCGGAUUGUAGUCUGCAACUCGACUACAUGAAGUUGGAAUCGCUAGUAAUCGCGGAUCAGCAUGUCGCGGUGAAUACGUUCCCGGGUCUUGUACACACCGCCCGUCACACCAUGGGAGCGGGUUUUACCAGAAGUAGGU